GCGGCGGACGGGUGAGUAAUGCCUAGGAAUCUGCCUGGUAGUGGGGGAUAACGUCCGGAAACGGGCGCUAAUACCGCAUACGUCCUGAGGGAGAAAGUGGGGGAUCUUCGGACCUCACGCUAUCAGAUGAGCCUAGGUCGGAUUAGCUAGUUGGUGGGGUAAAGGCCUACCAAGGCGACGAUCCGUAACUGGUCUGAGAGGAUGAUCAGUCACACUGGAACUGAGACACGGUCCAGACUCC
RNAcentral lists this ribosomal RNA (241 nucleotides) under Pseudomonas aeruginosa. Its description in RNAcentral is "partial 16S ribosomal RNA". It matches the Rfam family "Bacterial small subunit ribosomal RNA", at positions 95 to 339 of the family's 1533-position model. Lineage: Bacteria; Pseudomonadati; Pseudomonadota; Gammaproteobacteria; Pseudomonadales; Pseudomonadaceae. The record is from RNAcentral.